RNAcentral lists this ribosomal RNA (476 nucleotides) under uncultured Enterobacteriaceae bacterium. RNAcentral's name for it is "bacterial SSU rRNA". It matches the Rfam family "Bacterial small subunit ribosomal RNA", at positions 908 to 1382 of the family's 1533-position model. The record is from RNAcentral. Lineage: Bacteria; Pseudomonadati; Pseudomonadota; Gammaproteobacteria; Enterobacterales; Enterobacteriaceae.
AAAUUGACGGGGGCCCGCACAAGCGGUGGAGCAUGUGGUUUAAUUCGACGCUACGCGAAGAACCUUUACCUGGUCUUGACAUCCACGGAAGUUUUCAGAGAUGAGAAUGUGCCUUCGGGAACCGUGAGACAGGUGCUGCAUGGCUGUCGUCAGCUCGUGUUGUGAAAUGUUGGGUUAAGUCCCGCAACGAGCGCAACCCUUAUCCUUUGUUGCCAGCGGUCCGGCCGGGAACUCAAAGGAGACUGCCAGUGAUAAACUGGAGGAAGGUGGGAUGACGUCAAGUCAUCAUGGCCCUUACGACCAGGGCUACACACGUGCUACAAUGGCGCAUACAAAGAGAAGCGACCUCGCGAGAGCAAGCGGACCUCAUAAAGUGCGUCGUAGUCCGGAUUGGAGUCUGCAACUCGACUCCAUGAAGUCGGAAUCGCUAGUAAUCGUGGAUCAGAAUGCCACGGUCGAAUACGUUCCCGGGCCUU